This 266-nucleotide ribosomal RNA is filed under the name uncultured bacterium. Its description in RNAcentral is "partial 16S ribosomal RNA". It matches the Rfam family "Bacterial small subunit ribosomal RNA", at positions 92 to 354 of the family's 1533-position model. The record is from RNAcentral.
CGACCGGCGCACGGGUGAGUAACACGUAUGCAACCUGGCCGUCACAGGUGGAUAACCGGAAGAAAUUCCGACUAAUACAGCAUAACACUCCUGAGGGACAUCCUUCGGGAGUCAAAGGAGGCAACUCCGGUGACGGAUGGGCAUGCGGCGCAUUAGGUAGUUGGUAGGGUAACGGCCUACCAAGCCGACGAUGCGUAGGGGUUCUGAGAGGAAGGUCCCCCACAUUGGAACUGAGACACGGUCCAAACUCCUACGGAAGGCAGCAG